CUCCAGGAGCCUACCUUGGCAGGCAGUGAGAGAGCAAGCGGCAUCUGCUGGUCCAGGGGGUCAAAGGCUUGAAGAGUCCCAAAGAGAUCGCGAUACACUCCUGGGCAGGGCCUGAGGAAUCUGAAGGAAACAGUUUGCAAAAGCCACUGCUUUGGGCCACACCUGUGAGGAGCAGUAGAGCCCGCUGGGUCUCCUGACCAACCAGCACGAUCUGCUUGAAAGUCAUGGAGUGGUGGAAUGUCAUCUUGAAGACCCGCUGCCCGCUAGACUGCAGAUAGACCUCAACACAGUCGCAGGCCCGGCUGCUGGUGGUACCCACCACUUCCUGCUGCUCCCGAGUGGCCAAGACGUACAGGGCCGGACUCCAGAACCCUGAUCUCGGAGGCGCGGACUCAGUCUGCGACAGAUGCGUCUCCACACGCCUUCCGCGUCGCACACUUCGUGGAAGUAGCGGCAGGUCUGGCCGAGGGCGACAAGGUCUCUGACUGGGAGGAAUGAGAUGAUAUGCUCCACCUGGGAGGGAGGAGGGAAGAGGCGGGGGGGUCAUUGGUGGCUCCUUGGUGGUCUGGCCCCCAAUGCUAUUAUUCUUAACCCCCCUCCCCAAGGACUCACCAGCUCUGGGGGGAACAACUGGAUAGAAAUCGGAUUCCCUUUCCCCUUCUUCUCUUCAACCCCAAGCUCCGGGCCACAAGAAGGGCAGCUUCUCUUCACCUACCCAAGAAGGGAUGCAUAGGGUCCCAUGAGGGUCCCACAUCCUUUUUUCCCUUCUCUCUGCCUAUCUUGGGGCUCAUCUGACUCCAGCUGGGUGCAGUCAUGUCCUCCCCUCUCUCUCCAGACCCAUCCCUAACUUCUCCAAAUAACUCCUCCCAAUCUCCUGCGGCCAAUCCCCCUCACCCGGAGCCCCUCCUCCCGUCCACACAGCCUGGUGAAUUUUUGCAGCUUCCGUCUCUGGCUUCUCCUCACCAUCCUGAUUGCCCCCUCCCUGCUCCUGCCCUCCUGUCUCCUAGGCCCUUGGCCCCCCGUUCCUGCUGGCUUUCCCACACCAUGUCCCCUGCCUAGGCUUGGGGGACCUCUGGGGCCCCUCUGCCUCCUAGACCCCUCCCCCAUGGAGUCUGGGGCUAACAAACCUCUCUGUGACCUCACUGUUUGGCCACUGUGACCUGUUCCCUUUAAUCUUGUCCAGGACCCAUCUCUCAGACAGCUCCUGGGUUCUAGCUCAGUUCUAGCCAUCACAUGGCUCAAGGGAUAUGCAUUUUACUGGAGAAAUAAAGUGUGAAUUACUGGUAGGUGACAUCUUUAUUUCAGGGAGCAGGAGGAGGUUUUCCACUUGAGGCCCUUUUAGCACUAACUCUGUAGAUAAACACUGGUGAAUUCUUCACGUUUCAGCAGGCCAAGGCCUCCAGGGAUUGGUAGCUCAAGAGUAUAGACUCAAAAAACUAUAAACUCAGUUUGACAGGUGAGAUGGAGAGGUGACUGUGCUCAUAAUCGUUUAGCUCACAAAUGAUUCAGCAAACUCUUUAGACUCAUGAAAAAACACACCCAAAAGGAGACUGCAGCCUGGUGCCAGUGGCUCAUGCCUGAAAUUCCAGCACUUUUGGGUGGUCAUGGUGCAAGGAUGGCUUGAGGCCAGGGGUUCAAGACCAGCCUGGUCAACAUAGAGAGACCCUGUGUCUAU
Non-coding RNA from Chlorocebus sabaeus (green monkey), 1675 nucleotides. Lineage: Eukaryota; Metazoa; Chordata; Mammalia; Primates; Cercopithecidae. The record is from RefSeq and is a predicted model, not a curated record.